Molecule: transfer RNA, 62 nt
Filed under: Oxyrrhis marina
Lineage: Eukaryota; Dinophyceae; Oxyrrhinales; Oxyrrhinaceae
Also listed under: 2 other names
Rfam family: tRNA
About the family: Transfer RNA (tRNA) molecules are approximately 80 nucleotides in length. Their secondary structure includes four short double-helical elements and three loops (D, anti-codon, and T loops).
Source: RNAcentral
CAUAGCUCAGCUGGUUAGAGCGCUACACUGAUAAUGUAGAGGUCGGCAGUUCGAGUCUGCCU